This 1218-nucleotide long non-coding RNA is filed under the name Cyanistes caeruleus (blue tit). RNAcentral's name for it is "lncRNA (ENSCCEG00000004940.1)". Lineage: Eukaryota; Metazoa; Chordata; Aves; Passeriformes; Paridae. The record is from RNAcentral.
GGAGCGCCGGGACAACGCCGGGCUUGGCUCUGCCGCCGGCGCCGCUGCCCACCAGCACCGCCAGCUUCUGCCGGGAGAGGGGGAGAAAGAAGCGGCACCGUCACCGCAGGGCUGCAGACGAACACGGCCCCACGGCCCCAGGCAGCACGGAUUUGGGGUUAUUUCUUUUGUUGGGGUUUACAGUUUUAUUCCUGGCAGGGGAGGGGCUGGGUUCCCCCUCUUUGCUCGGGAACUCGUGGGUUGCGCUCUGAGCUUCCAAAGUUUUCCACUGGUGUUCCUUGCACUGAUUUCAUGCCCUGUGGUAUGGUGCUGCAGAUGCCAAAGAGAAUUGGGACAGCAUGUGGAAGAGCUGACCACCUCCUCUCCUGCUCUACAGAAUAUUUCCUUGCAAAGCACCUAAUUAACCUCUACAGUGACAUAAAGCUCUCAGACUAAGAGUUCAGCCCUGUGGUUGUACUUUUGCUUUAUGUCCUGCGAAAAAUGCAAGCUCACAGACUGUCUGAAAAUGCUGUACUUGGUUACAGUGCUAGAAAUCCAUUGCCUAACUGCAGUUAGUCCAGGAAGGAAAUCCUAGCUCUGCUGCAAAUUACCAGAGGUUUGCUGAUGACAUUGGUAGCAUUGGGUAGGGAUUCUUUUGUGAUCCUAGGAGCAUUUGCUAUUCCUGAUAGAUCACUGUACUGAUGAAGUGUCUUUUAAUAUUUGUCCUCAGACAUGAAUGUGUGGGUUACUGAAUGAAAAAUUUCUUACAGAAACACUCAGCAUUACUCUGAUUUCAUAUUUUCACUUCAAGUUUUAAUAAGUAAUAUUCUAGUAGUAUUGGUACAGCUUUACUUCUUCCUCAGACAGUUCAGCAACAGAAAACAUCUAAGCAAGUAACACUUGACUCCAAAAGAUAGACAAUCCUUGGUAGGUCAGUGGAAAGAACAAGUAAAUUAAGUAGAAGUAGAUUUUAACUUUCUUGACUAACUUCAAUAGCAACUAUUUGCUUUUUGUCUUGUUUCAAAGGAGCAAAUUAGCCGAGAAGUACAAAAACAGAAAUUCUGUAAACAAACAAAAAAAUAUCACUACUUAAACUACCAUCCAUCCUUUCCCCCUACAAGCAUUAACAGUGAGUCAGUUUGAUGCAUGUUAACAUUUUUCUUAAUAACCUCACAAUCCUGUCUGUUAAUGUGUAUGCAACCCAAAGAGCUAAGGAAAUAAAGAUUACUGCUUGUUUCA